Molecule: ribosomal RNA, 397 nt
Filed under: uncultured bacterium
Lineage: Bacteria
Description: partial 16S ribosomal RNA
Rfam family: Bacterial small subunit ribosomal RNA
Source: RNAcentral
AAUAUUUCACAAUGGGGGAAACGCUGAUGCAGCGACGCCGCGUGAGUGAAGAAGUAUUUCGGUAUGUAUAGCUCUAUCAGCAGGGAAGAAAAUGACGGUACCUGACUAAGAAGCCCCGGCUAACUACGUGCCAGCAGCCGCGGUAAUACGUAGGGGGCAAGCGUUAUCCGGAUUUACUGGGUGUAAAGGGAGCGUAGGUGGCGAGUCAAGUCAGAUGUGAAAGCCCGGGGCUCAACCCCGGGAUUGCAUUUGAAACUGGUUUGCUAGAGUGCAGGAGAGGUAAGUGGAAUUCCUAGUGUAGCGGUGAAAUGCGUAGAUAUUAGGAGGAACACCAGUGGCGAAGGCGACUACCUGGACUGAUACUGACACUGAGGUGCGAAAGCGUGGGGAGCAAACA